Non-coding RNA from Cinara cedri, 369 nucleotides. The record is from the annotation of a GenBank genome assembly. NCBI's taxonomy places the organism in Eukaryota, Metazoa, Arthropoda, Insecta, Hemiptera, Aphididae.
GCAAAGUUCAUUUUCCUUAUACUAAAUCUAACACUUUUGUCGUUUGUUUUCCUUCCUGACCGCUUUACUUCCUUCUUUUUUCUUUGGCACCAAGUCUUUAAAACCUUUAGCAUUUUUUGGCCAUUUUGAAAUGUAUCUUUGUGCAGAAACUGUGCGUACCUACCUAUCUAUAGAAAUGUUUUUAUUUCAGGGUGUAGGUUCUAUGUUAACGAUCGUUGUUACAAUGUUCUGCUAGACUUUUCGCUAGCUAAGUUAGCUAAGUGAACACAUUUAGCGGCCAAAUUUUAAAAUUCCCUUACUAUAAUGUCCCGAUGUACUACACCCGACCUCUUACGACUAUUAAGUAGUUUUUUGUUUGCAACUAACUUA